GUUGCUGCUUUAUAAUUUUUUUUUUUGGGCUGCAUUUGUACUCCAGCUGCUACAAUAGACCUUCAAAAUUAAGGCCCACUCACUAAAAAUAAUUUCUGACUUACCGCUUACAAGAAUAAGCAUAUCAAAAUUUUUUGAUCCCAGAAAAAUCGUUCCUCUCCUUGAUUACAAAUCUGCCCUAGUGUAUCUAUACUUGUUUCACAUUCAACUCCUUGUUUAGUGAAGCUAUCAUCACCCUUCCUGAUUUCGCCGUUCAUUCUCCACCGGUGUAUCGAUGACAUCACUCUACAACACCACUAUGAAUUCAAGGGAAACUAUGUCUGCAACAACUUUUACUAGACUAGUCAAAGCCAUGGUCAAGAAAUACGACCUAAUUAUGGUGAUAUACGUUACAUGUUGCAGAAUGUGUUUCCCAUGCACACCCCAAAUAUGGAUGAAUAUGGAGAAGAAAGUAAUUUACCAAAACCAUCUAAUCAAGGCUCAAGUGCCCAACGACCUCAAGAAGAUCCUAAUGAAGAUGCACACAAAUUUUACGACUUACUCAAAGAUGAUAAGAAGCCUUUGUAUGAAGGGUGUAAGAAUUUUAGCAAGUUGUCAACCAUUGUACAUCUGUAUCACUUGAAAUGUCUUAGUGGAUGGAGCAAUCACUCAUUCACAAUGUUGCUUCAAAAUUUUGAAAGAUAUGCUUCCUUCAUAUGCAAAUUUAUUAAAAGACUAUUAUGAUGUCAAGAAGAUUAUUAAGGAUUUAGGUCUUGAUUAUGAAAAGAUUCACGUUUGUCCUAAUGAUUUUAUGUUAUUUUGGAAGGAACAUGCAAAUAAUGAAGUGUGUCAUUAUGGUGCUUCAAGGUAAAUGGGGAUGAUUUGGAGCAUAAUACGAGUACUUCAUCUAAAAAGAGAAAGAAAAAGGCUGCAAAGGUUUUACGGUUGUUUCCCUUAAAGCCUCGAUU
This is a long non-coding RNA of Camellia sinensis, 947 nucleotides long. RefSeq lists it as uncharacterized. NCBI's taxonomy places the organism in Eukaryota, Viridiplantae, Streptophyta, Magnoliopsida, Ericales, Theaceae. The record is from RefSeq and is a predicted model, not a curated record.